GCGGAAGUAGCUCAGUUGGUUAGAGCGUCGCCCUGUCACGGCGAAGGUCGCGGGUUCGAGCCCCGUCUUUCGCGCCA
This 77-nucleotide transfer RNA is filed under the name Alphaproteobacteria bacterium. RNAcentral describes it as "tRNA-Asp". It matches the Rfam family "tRNA". Rfam says of the family: Transfer RNA (tRNA) molecules are approximately 80 nucleotides in length. Their secondary structure includes four short double-helical elements and three loops (D, anti-codon, and T loops). Further hydrogen bonds mediate the characteristic L-shaped molecular structure. tRNAs have two regions of fundamental functional importance: the anti-codon, which is responsible for specific mRNA codon recognition, and the 3' end, to which the tRNAs corresponding amino acid is attached (by aminoacyl-tRNA synthetases). tRNAs cope with the degeneracy of the genetic code in two manners: having more than one tRNA (with a specific anti-codon) for a particular amino acid; and 'wobble' base-pairing, i.e. permitting non-standard base-pairing at the 3rd anti-codon position. The record is from RNAcentral. RNAcentral also lists the same sequence under 3 other names. Lineage: Bacteria; Pseudomonadati; Pseudomonadota; Alphaproteobacteria.